This 563-nucleotide ribosomal RNA is filed under the name uncultured beta proteobacterium. RNAcentral's name for it is "bacterial SSU rRNA". It matches the Rfam family "Bacterial small subunit ribosomal RNA", at positions 111 to 670 of the family's 1533-position model. Lineage: Bacteria; Pseudomonadati; Pseudomonadota; Betaproteobacteria. The record is from RNAcentral.
UAAUACAUCGGAACGUACCUUAUCGUGGGGGAUAACGCAGCGAAAGCUGUGCUAAUACCGCAUACGCCCUGAGGGGGAAAGCGGGGGAUCGCAAGACCUCGCGCGAUUAGAGCGGCCGAUGCCUGAUUAGCUAGUUGGUGGGGUAAAAGCCCACCAAGGCGACGAUCAGUAGCUGGUCUGAGAGGACGAUCAGCCACACUGGGACUGAGACACGGCCCAGACUCCUACGGGAGGCAGCAGUGGGGAAUUUUGGACAAUGGGGGCAACCCUGAUCCAGCAAUGCCGCGUGAGUGAAGAAGGCCUUCGGGUUGUAAAGCUCUUUUGUCAGGGAAGAAACACCGGCUCUAACACAGUCCGGGAAUGACGGUACCUGAAGAAUAAGCACCGGCUAACUACGUGCCAGCAGCCGCGGUAAUACGUAGGGUGCGAGCGUUAAUCGGAAUUACUGGGCGUAAAGCGUGCACAUGCGGUUAUACAAGACAGGCGUGAAAUCCCCGGGCUUAACCUGGAGAAUGGCGCCUGUGACUGUAUAGCUAGAGUGUGUCAGAGGGGGGUAGAAUUCC